Molecule: ribosomal RNA, 565 nt
Filed under: Russula sp. HMAS 276809
Lineage: Eukaryota; Fungi; Basidiomycota; Agaricomycetes; Russulales; Russulaceae
Description: partial 12S ribosomal RNA
Rfam family: Bacterial small subunit ribosomal RNA
Source: RNAcentral
UCAGCAGUUCCAGAAUAUUAGUCAAUGCUCGAAAGAGUGACUAGCUAACUGAAUCAAUAUAAAAAUUGAUAACAUAAGGGAAAAUAAUGAUAUUACCUUAUUAUUAGUGUCGUCCAAAUCUGGUGCCAGAAGACUCGGUAAGGCCAGAGACACGAACGUUAAUCGUCUUAAUCAGGCGUAAAGGGUUUGUAGGCGGCUUUAAAUUUACUUUUUUAAAAGAAAAGUAAAGAAAAAAAGCUAGAAUCAAAUAGAGGAUAUAUUAAAUAAUGCUUAGAGUAGGUCUGAUAUCUUUAGAUACUAAGUAGAAUAUUAAAGGCGAAAGCUUUUUUCCAUUAAUGAUUGACGCUCAGAAACGAAGGUGAGGAUAGGAAAUAGGAUUUGAUACCCAAAAUACCCCUCUCUGUCAACGAUGAAUGGUAGUUAUUAAAUAAUAUUAUUAAUGGCAAUGUUAACACGAUAACCAUUCCGCCUUGUGAGUACGACUGCAAAGUUGAAAACAAAAAAAUUAGUCGGUUUCGGAGCAAACGAAGUGAAGCAUGUUAUUUAAUUCGAUAAUCCGCAAACA